This 433-nucleotide ribosomal RNA is filed under the name uncultured bacterium. RNAcentral's name for it is "partial 16S ribosomal RNA". It matches the Rfam family "Bacterial small subunit ribosomal RNA", at positions 29 to 507 of the family's 1533-position model. The record is from RNAcentral.
AGCGAACGCUGGCGGCAGGCCUAACACAUGCAAGUCGAACGAACUCUUCGGAGUUAGUGGCGGACGGGUGAGUAACACGUGGGAACGUGCCUUUAGGUUCGGAAUAACUCAGGGAAACUUGUGCUAAUACCGAAUGUGCCCUUCGGGGGAAAGAUUUAUCGCCUUUAGAGCGGCCCGCGUCUGAUUAGCUAGUUGGUGAGGUAAAGGCCCACCAAGGCGACGAUCAGUAGCUGGUCUGAGAGGAUGAUCAGCCACAUUGGGACUGAGACACGGCCCAAACUCCUACGGGAGGCAGCAGUGGGGAAUCUUGCGCAAUGGGCGAAAGCCUGACGCAGCCAUGCCGCGUGAAUGAUGAAGGUCUUAGGAUUGUAAAAUUCUUUCACCGGGGACGAUAAUGACGGUACCCGGAGAAGAAGCCCCGGCUAACUUCGUG